CGCCUUGCCAGCCCGCUCAGAAACUCAAAGGAAUUGACGGGGACCCGCACAAGCGGUGGAUGAUGUGGAUUAAUUCGAUGCAACGCGAAAAACCUUACCUACCCUUGACAUGUCUGGAACCCUGCUGAAAGGUGGGGGUGCUCGAAAGAGAGCCAGAACACAGGUGCUGCAUGGCUGUCGUCAGCUCGUGUCGUGAGAUGUUGGGUUAAGUCCCGCAACGAGCGCAACCCUUGUCAUUAGUUGCUACGAAAGGGCACUCUAAUGAGACUGCCGGUGACAAACCGGAGGAAGGUGGGGAUGACGUCAAGUCCUCAUGGCCCUUAUGGGUAGGGCUUCACACGUCAUACAAUGGUCGGUACAGAGGGUAGCCAACCCGCGAGGGGGAGCCAAUCCCAGAAAACCGAUCGUAGUCCGGAUCGCAGUCUGCAACUCGACUGCGUGAAGUCGGAAUCGCUAGUAAUCGCGGAUCAGCAUGUCGCGGUGAAUACGUUCCCGGGUCUU
Molecule: ribosomal RNA, 501 nt
Filed under: uncultured Burkholderiales bacterium
Lineage: Bacteria; Pseudomonadati; Pseudomonadota; Betaproteobacteria; Burkholderiales
Description: bacterial SSU rRNA
Rfam family: Bacterial small subunit ribosomal RNA
Source: RNAcentral